RNAcentral lists this ribosomal RNA (407 nucleotides) under uncultured bacterium. Its description in RNAcentral is "partial 16S ribosomal RNA". It matches the Rfam family "Bacterial small subunit ribosomal RNA", at positions 28 to 526 of the family's 1533-position model. The record is from RNAcentral.
GACGAACGCUGGCGGCGUGCCUAAUACAUGCAAGUAGAACGCAGUUGCGAACGGGUGAGUAACGCGAAUGUAACUGCCUCAUAGCGGGGGAUAACUAUUGGAGACGCUAGAUACUACCCCAUACUUUGAGAUGGACCUGCGUUGUAUUAGCUAGUUGGUGAGGUAAAGGUCCACCAAGGAGACGAUACAUAGCCGGCCUUAGAGGGUGAUUGGGCAAACUGGGACUUAGACACGGACCAGACUGCUAAGGGAGGCAGCAGGAGGGAAUCUGCGGAAAUGGAGUGAAGUCUGACCGAGUAACGCCGCGGGAUUGAAGAAGGUUUUCGGGUUGUAAAGCUCUGUUGUUAGAGAAGCGGUAACUAACCAGAAAGGGACGGCUAACUACGUGCCAGCAGCCGCGGUAAUAC